This 238-nucleotide unclassified non-coding RNA is filed under the name Hevea brasiliensis (rubber tree). The record is from RNAcentral. Lineage: Eukaryota; Viridiplantae; Streptophyta; Magnoliopsida; Malpighiales; Euphorbiaceae.
AAAACACACAAGGAGCAGAGACUACAAAAUAAAACAGGAAACACUGAACAAACUUAUCAACGAGAACAAAAUACAAUAACCAAGACAGGGAUGAACACAGGAGAGGCACAGGGUGAAACAUAGCGAGGGACAAGGAGGGGAACACAGGAGAGGGACACAGAGAACAACACAGGAGAAUCACAGGGUGGAGCACAGAGGAAGGCAGAAGGGAACAUGAGAGGAACACAGGAGGGAACAU